This 74-nucleotide transfer RNA is filed under the name Pyrobaculum aerophilum. RNAcentral's name for it is "tRNA-Ile". It matches the Rfam family "tRNA". Rfam says of the family: Transfer RNA (tRNA) molecules are approximately 80 nucleotides in length. Their secondary structure includes four short double-helical elements and three loops (D, anti-codon, and T loops). Further hydrogen bonds mediate the characteristic L-shaped molecular structure. tRNAs have two regions of fundamental functional importance: the anti-codon, which is responsible for specific mRNA codon recognition, and the 3' end, to which the tRNAs corresponding amino acid is attached (by aminoacyl-tRNA synthetases). tRNAs cope with the degeneracy of the genetic code in two manners: having more than one tRNA (with a specific anti-codon) for a particular amino acid; and 'wobble' base-pairing, i.e. permitting non-standard base-pairing at the 3rd anti-codon position. Lineage: Archaea; Thermoproteati; Thermoproteota; Thermoprotei; Thermoproteales; Thermoproteaceae. The record is from RNAcentral. RNAcentral also lists the same sequence under 2 other names.
GGGCCCGUAGCUUAGCCAGGUAGAGCGCCCGGCUCAUAACCGGGCGGUCCCGGGUUCAAAUCCCGGCGGGCCCA